UCAUCAAGUUUGUACCCUAAAGGCACUACAGCUCGAACCGAAUCUCGGAGUUGAAGAUGCGACCUUUUUGCCCUUAGCUACUUAUUUUGUGCGGUAGCAUGCAUGUUAAGCUUACAAUUACCGCGUGUUAGGAAGCGGCACGGCGGGGCGUGAGAUAAACCGGGAAUAUAUUGCAAAUAAAUUGUGCGGAAAAAAAUGGAGCCGACUCUUCCCUUUAACUUCGGACGAAGGCUUCUGUACAUCCUGGUUUUUCAAUUUUUAGUUCAUAGCAAAUCGGAUAAUGUGGGUCAGGAUAGCUAUCCCAAGACGGACAUCAAGUUGGACAAUAAGGUUUACGUGAUGACAGAAGAUAACUUCCACCAUCUGAUACAAGGACACGAAACCGGUUUGGUUCUGUUCCAUGUGCCAUGGAACGCGCAAUACCGAAGUAUGCUGCCGGAAUACGAAAAGGUUACGAAAAAAGUUAACGAUGAACUUCCGUCAGUGUUGAUGGGAAAAUUGGAUGUGUCGCUUCAUCCAGAAAUUGCCGAACAGUUAGAUAUCCGUGGCGAUGAGCCGCAGUUCUUGUUCUUCAAUCAAGGAAAGCCGUACAAUUAUGAGGACUUUAAAAGCUAUUCAGCUUUGUUGGAGAGUCUUCGGUUGCACGCUGGCCACAUUUAGUUUCCGCCACGACCGCAUCCGGAACUUGUGCCUGAGCUGACGCAGCACGAAUUCCAGCAGACGAUAAAAGGUCUGGAUUUUGCUGAUGUGGCUUUCUACAGAACGGAAGACUUGCGUCCGGUGUCGGAAGUGGAUCUGGAGAGAGAUUUCGAUAUGUUAUUAUGGCGGGCACCAGGUGAAACGAGGUUCGAACCCACCACUGCGGCCACGCGUACUAAAUUCCUCAUGCCCAACUGCUCUACUGGACAUUCUCGAAUGAUGCUGGGACGAGAUGCCAUCUGUUCAGCCAACAUUUCAACGCCUUCGUGAAAAUUUUGCACAACUAUUCGCCCAUUCCGGUGACAGCAUUGUUGAGCACUUGAUUGUAAACGGAAGUGAAGUUGACCUUUACUCGAAACUUGCACUUAGCCUUAACCUAAAACUUUCCAGCGCGGAUAUAAUGAAUCCUUGUUGUAGCAUAUGUAUGAUGGAAAAAGAGGCAGCCAGUUUAGAACAAGAAGCGGAAGAGAAAAUGCAUCUGAUGCUGGAAGAAAAGCGACGCUCAGAUGAGAUUCUCAGCCAAAUUUUACCAAAAACUAUUGCCCAAGCCCUCACUCAAGGAAAACAAAUCCUUCCAGAAACAUUUGCCAGCACACGGUACAUUUUAGUAUUUUAGCGAUAUCGAAGGAUUUCCUGAAUUAACCUUACAAGCCGAAACACCAGCGGAUACUGUGUAUAUCUUGAACACUCUUUAUGCUACCUGCGAUGCAGUUAUUGAGAAGUCUGACGUUUACAAAGUGGAAACUGUCAAACUAACAGCAGCGUACUUGAACUUCUAUAUUGUUGCGUAAUUAUUGUUUUAAUUUCAGGAUGAAUAUGCCUAUUUGGUAAAGUUGAAUGCCGGCUAAAAGUAAAGUGAGAAGUGAAAUCAUCAUGAAAAUUGUGUUUAUCUAAGGUCGUAAGCGGGCUACCAGUUCGCAAUGGGAUCAAGCAUGCCGGUGAAAUCGCUACCCAUGGCUCUCUAUCUGAAGCGAGAUAUCGGCCUUCUCACAUUUCGAAACAGCACAGCUUCUACACCCAAACUUCGCCCACGCGUUGGACUACACUCUGGGUCGUGUGUGGCUGCCAUCAUCGGAGCCAAAAUGCCAAGAUACUGCCUGUAAGAAACUAUUUUUAAAGGCCGAGAACCCCAGAUAUCAAAAUUUGUGGACUACAGUUUUGGCUUCGUAAGUUCGGUGAUACGGUUAGCACU
Molecule: RNA transcript, 1891 nt
Organism: Paramacrobiotus metropolitanus
Lineage: Eukaryota; Metazoa; Tardigrada; Eutardigrada; Parachela; Macrobiotidae
Gene name: protein disulfide-isomerase 2-like
Exons: 7
Source: RefSeq, a predicted model, not a curated record